GACGAACGCUGGCGGCGUGCUUAACACAUGCAAGUCGAACGAGGAGAGAUGAGAAGCUUGCUUCUUAUUAAUUCGAGUGGCAAACGGGUGAGUAACGCGUAAGCAACCUGCCCUUCAGAUGGGGACAACAGCUGGAAACGGCUGCUAAUACCGAAUACGUUCUUUUGUCGCAUGGCAGAGGGAAGAAAGGGAGGCUCUUCGGAGCUUUCGCUGAAGGAGGGGCUUGCGUCUGAUUAGCUAGUUGGAGGGGUAACGGCCCACCAAGGCGACGAUCAGUAGCCGGUACUGAGAGGAUGAACGGCCACAUUGGGACUGAGACACGGCCCAGACUCCUAC
This 336-nucleotide ribosomal RNA is filed under the name uncultured bacterium. RNAcentral describes it as "bacterial SSU rRNA". It matches the Rfam family "Bacterial small subunit ribosomal RNA", at positions 28 to 342 of the family's 1533-position model. The record is from RNAcentral.